GUUAAGUCUCCUGGCCAGUAAUGCUAACAGAUUCUAAGGCUUUAAAGACUUUAAGGAGGUAUUUGUAUUUAACCUGAGGGUCGUUGAUAUCGUAAAAACACGCCAAGGGACCAGCAGUACAGUCGUCUUCACGUCUGGUAUCUCUACGCUGCCUGGCAUGUUAGGACUUUAUAUUACUCGGGAGAGUUUGUGUUUGAUUCUGUUUGCUCAGUUCAGGGCAGAUGUGCUCGUGCUUUUUCACCCAGCCUCGUGGUAACCUGGGAACGUGUAUAUUCGUAUUUGGACAUCCGUACCACUGCGUCCUUUCUAUCCAUCGAGGAUGAUCCCGUUCACCGGAGGAACGAAAGGCGUUCAGAAUAUUUCACAUUGCGAUAUCGGGACUGGUGAUGAAAUAUGGAAGUGUGAUACGUCUAGCUUUGUGCUUGUACCGGAUGCCAGCCGAAUGAAUCUUUCGGCUGUGUAGCCUAGUCCAGCUUUGUGAUGGACUUUUAAACGGGGUUGAAUGUACGACGCGCGCUCUGUAUAUCACACCUGCCGAAAUAGUGCCGAGGUAUCUGCCAAGGCCUGUGGUGGAUCCGUUUCUUUCACACCGUGGCCGCUUUUCCCCGGCGUCUUCCCGUCGGCGCUUAUCUUUUAAAGUCCCCGCCCGGCGUUAUCGCGCGGCGGGCCGGAGUUCACAGACGGGGACUAUUUUUACAGAGGGGAAAUAACCGACGGUCACGAGGACGACUUAAACGCACGGCGGAAGCCUUUUAACGCGCAGUCCGUCCUUCCUAUUGUGUGUUUUUAACGCGUGGCGUUUUAGUUGCUUAGGAGGAACCGGCGCUUUCUGUCGAGCCACGUCCGACUCCACGACGUUUUGUUUCUUUCCUCAGCCGCCGCGAUCAAUAGUAAUUGGGUCUGCGGCGGCUUAGACGCUCGCCGGACCAGCCGAAGGAGAAAAUGGAGGAUGUUCACGAGGUGCGGAGCGUGACUGCUUCCCUCGCCUCCCCUCUGCAGAUCUCACCGUAUUUAUUCAGCUUUACCUUUCACCAAAAGAUUCUUCCUCCCUCCUCUUACCCCCAUCCCCCCUGACCCCCCCCCCCCCCCCCCCACCCCCCACCUUCCUUCUGUCUCUGUCAUGCACCGAGGACUGGAGUGGGUAGAAGAAAAACAUCAAAUAAAAGUAAUCCCUUUGGGAGCUGAACCGCAGGUAUUCUUCGCCAUAUUUAACCUGCCAUUUAAUUAUUUAUUUAUUUUUGUGCUAAUAAAAGCGGCCACGUUCAAACGAGACCUGCGUCCAGGCGCAUUAAGGAAAUCUGGCUCGUAGAAACGCGUCUGUUCAGAUCGCAGGCCGUCUUAAUGGGAUCUCAUGAAGUGUUGAGAAGAAGCGAGGAAGGGUGCUACGCGAGAGCGUAGUCCGGAACGGUUCCAAAUACACGGCUAGAGUAAAGAGGACGGGGACGUGGACUCUUUACUCUUUACUCAGUCUAGCCGUGUGUUUCGAAGACGGCCGUUCCAGGUGAGACGAAGUUGUAAGCGGACGUCAGAAGUCUGACUUAACGAGCACAGUUGGACGGAAGGCUCGUCGGCGUUUGAACCAUGAAGUUCACGGCGCCUCCGAGCGCCGGCGCGCCGUCGUCCUGGUUCAUCUAGUUCAUCGACGUCUGGUUUCAUUUCAGUGGAAACACGAUUCAGCCCCGUGUCAUUCCCAAACGCGGGACGUGCAGCGACCUCUCCGUGUGUGUCUGCGUCCCGGAUCGCUGCAGAAACUCCGACGUGCGCCUGAUAUCUGGGCCACAAACAAACAAAUAAAUAAAUAAAUAAAGCGAAACAUUAAUGAAUGAAUGCUGGAUUCAGUUCACAAAGGAACAGGUUUUUCCACAGGAUUUAUUCGCGUUAAUAUUUAAUAAGGCGUUUAUUGUUUAGCACCGGCUCCGUGUUCCGUGUGCUUGGUUGCGUUUUCGUGAUUUCCUCACACACUUGCAAGAGGUUUAUUUACAUUUCUUACCAACGUAUUUCAUGACCAACAAAUGAACGACUUUUGUGAGGGCUUUGGAGAAUUCCAGCCCCGCCCCCUUUCCUCACACCGAAAAAAUAUCAUUUGCACUCUUGAUUGAUUGAUUGAUACAAACAAACUAAUAAGUGAGUAAACAUCCAUAAACCAGUCAUAAUAAUCCCGGUGAAGGAGGCGUGGCCUGUGUGCUUUCAGUCCCAGUGGAGGAGGUGUGGCCUCUGCGUUUCAGUCCCAGUGGCGGAGGUGUGGCCUCUGCGCUUCAGGUACAGUGGCGGAGGUGUGGCCUCUGCGCUUCGGUCCCAGUAGCGGAGGUGUGGCCUCUGCGCUUCAGUCCCAGUGAAGGAGGUGUGGCCUCUGCGCUUCAGUCCCAGUGAAGGAGGUGUGGCCUCCAGCACUGAAUUAUUUUGUAUUACAUCGAGCCAGCGGUGUUUCAUAUUGAAUCAUUGGCUCUGUAAACGUAUCUUUCCUGCUUCCACGAUCACGCAUCAAGAGGCACGUUGUAAGAACUCUGAUUAAGAGCGCGUACGAUCUGGAGUCGUAAAUGAAACCAUAAACAAAACCCCCUCAUCAUCGUCCACGCACUUCUUCCCAAGUAGUGCUCCCCAUCGGGCAAUUCCUGUAAGGUCAGGUAUGAAACGAGCAGCGAGUUAGAUGGACGUGCAACGUUCUCUCAACGUUCUCUCAACGUUCUCUCAACGUUCUCUCAACGUUCUCGCUUCAGGUGUCGUGACCGGUGCGCACAUUUCAAAUGCACGUUCAAACCUGACUGCCGGAUUCGUGUUCGUGUCUGGAUGCGGUUGUGCACUGUAACUCUAAAGGAAGAGUUUAAAUAAUCAGAGGAUGCCCCCCCCACCCCCCGGUGACCCCUCCCCCCAUGCCGAAUUUGUCUUUUUAGGCCUUUAGGAUUAACCCCUAUUGUCUUUGCUUAUUAAAGAGAGAGAUACAGUUCCUUAAUAAUUCAAGCUUCAUAUUUGCUGAUCUAAUGUGUGUGUGUGUGUGUGUGCGAUUUUUAUUUUUUAAAAUUCUUUCCCUUCUUCCACCCCCUCCCACCUGUUUCAUAUGCAUCCGGUAAUAAUGGGUUCUGAGAGAGAGCCUUGCCGACGGCGACUGCGUUAGCGAGAGGGGAAAAAAGGACAAAUUAAAAUCUUAAAGCGCUAUUAUUUAAUUACCCCAAUGGCUGUGGAUUCGGGGUGUGUGUGUGUGUGUGUCGACAAGGGCAAUAGAGAGGGCAGGAUUAUUCUGGUUUUUCAAUUUGCAGAACCCCCGGCUGCCCCCCUGCCUUAAACACACACGCACACACACACACGCUUGCUCGCUUCACCCCCUUCCUCACCCAACCGCUGGAAGAUAAAAUGGCAUUAUGGUAAAUUCCACUUAAUGACAAAUUUUUAAUUUGGUGAACACAACCUUCCCCCCCCCCCGUGUGUGUGUGUGUGUGCGUGCGCGUGUUUGUGAGGGAAUAUGAAUGAAGACUAAUUACAGCGCGGAUGGGUUCAGGAGAAAGAAAGGCGCGCUCGCUUCUCUCCAGCCGCCGCGAUAAGGGAAAGGAAACGUAGCAGAUUAACGCCGCUGUUUAUCUCCCGCUGUAUAAUAACAAUAAUAACAAUCAUGAAAAUUCGAUCUGCCCCCUCAGCCCCGAUAGGAGAACGCUCCCACCGGAGAGUUUUCAUCAAAAUGAAAUUGAAGUCGCAAGCCAGCGGUUUUUUUAUUAAAACGGUCCUCUCGCUGCGGUUCCGAGAGAGCGGUACACGGCCCGGGUCUUAUCAGCGUCGGGGGUUAUUUUGUGAUUUUUAAAAAUAUCUUUGUAUUUAUUUUUUUUCCUUUUAUGGCUCGUAAACGCGCCUGCGUCAACGUGAAGCAUCUACAGCGCGAUGGUCGUAUAACCUGAGACGAGGGAUCUCGUCGCAGCCGAAACGCCGUCGGCGUCGGACAGAACUUCACCGGGAAGUCUGGGACGUUUAUGAAGGCGGCCAUCUUGGACGAUCGCGUUUCCUCGCGUCGUGUCACGCCAUCGCCGCCACCAGCGUUAUACCGUAGCCGUUCCUUGUAACCUCGUAACCUCGUUCCUACCCAAAUAUACGAUCAACCCUUUGUUCUGGUUUAUGUAUUAAUCGUUAAUCAUUAGCUCGGCAUGCGCAAAAAGUCUAUGCGUUCCGUGUCCGCCAACUCCCAUGCGACCGAC
This is a long non-coding RNA of Ictalurus punctatus (channel catfish), 4178 nucleotides long. The record is from Ensembl. Lineage: Eukaryota; Metazoa; Chordata; Actinopteri; Siluriformes; Ictaluridae.